GAUGAACGCUAGCGGCAGGCUUAAUACAUGCAAGUCGUGGGGCAGCACGACAGUAGCAUUACCGUUGCUGGCGCCCGGCACACGCGUGCGGAACACGCACGCAACUCUCCUUGAACUGGGGGAUAGACCGGGGAAACCCGGAUCAAUACCCCGUAAUAUACUGGAGUGGCAUCCCUUUAUUCUUAAAGCCUUGGCGGUUUGGGAUGGGCGUGCGGCUGUUUAGGUUGUUGGUUGGGGUAAAGGCACACAAAGCCGACGCCCAGUAGCUGGUGUGAGAGGAUGAGCAGCACCACUGGAACUGAGACACGGUCACGACUCCUACGCGAGGCAGCAGUGGGGAAUAUUGGACAAUGGGAACAAGCGUGAUCCAGCCCCACCCCGUGGGUGAGGAAGGUGUUCGGCUUGUAGAGUCUUAUUGUUGUGAAAGAAAAGCAGAACGUUAAUACCCCGCCGCUCUGACGGUACCCAAAGAAUAAGCACCGGCUAACUUCGUG
Molecule: ribosomal RNA, 494 nt
Filed under: uncultured bacterium
Lineage: Bacteria
Description: partial 16S ribosomal RNA
Rfam family: Bacterial small subunit ribosomal RNA
Source: RNAcentral